This 515-nucleotide ribosomal RNA is filed under the name uncultured bacterium. RNAcentral's name for it is "bacterial SSU rRNA". It matches the Rfam family "Bacterial small subunit ribosomal RNA", at positions 9 to 526 of the family's 1533-position model. The record is from RNAcentral.
GAGUUUGAUCCUGGCUCAGGAUGAACGCUGGCGGCGUGCUUAACACAUGCAAGUCGAGCGAAGCACUUGUGAUGAUCCUUCGGGUAAUUCAUUUGUGACUGAGCGGCGGACGGGUGAGUAACGCGUGAGUAACCUGCCUCAUACAGGGGAAUAACAGUUAGAAAUGACUGCUAAUGCCGCAUAAGCGCACAGGACCACAUGGUCUGGUGUGAAAAACUCCGGUGGUAUGAGAUGGACUCGCGUCUGAUUAGCUAGUUGGUGAGGUAACGGCCCACCAAGGCGACGAUCCAUAGCCGGCCUGAGAGGGUGAACGGCCACAUUGGGACUGAGACACGGCCCAAACUCCUACGGGAGGCAGCAGUAGGGAAUAUUGCACAAUGGGGGAAACCCUGAUGCAGCGACGCCGCGUGGAGGAAGAAGGUCUUCGGAUUGUAAACUCCUGUUGUUGAGGAAGAUAAUGACGGUACUCAACAAGGAAGUGACGGCUAACUACGUGCCAGCCGCCGCGGUAAUUC